Long non-coding RNA from Panonychus citri (citrus red mite), 2426 nucleotides. RefSeq lists it as uncharacterized. The transcript has 3 exons. Lineage: Eukaryota; Metazoa; Arthropoda; Arachnida; Trombidiformes; Tetranychidae. The record is from RefSeq and is a predicted model, not a curated record.
AAAAGAGAAAAUUAAAAAAGAAAACAGCUGAUGGAAAGCCCGCUCUUUUUUUCUCUGUUUUUGCUUAGCAACCAGAGAAAAGAAAAAAAAAUUGUUUUUUAUUAUUCCAAUUCUCUUGUUUUCUAAUUGAUUCUAUUAAUUGUUAGUUAAUUGUUAGUGAUUAUUUGGGUUAGAGAUGAAAAGUAAAUGACCAGAGAUUUGGAUGUUGAUUGGAUUUUGGAUUUUCGGAUGUUCAAAGAAAACAUUGUCAUUAAAUAUAUGGAUGGAAUAUGUGUUUAAACAUAAGCAGCCUGAUGAUGAUUCUACUUGAUGGUGAUAUUAUUUCAAGUGAUUCGUUUCCAGAGAUUAUAAUAUGUCAACAGUACUUGAGUUGGAAAUUCUGACAAUCUGAUUAUCUGUUUUUUUUUCCUAUUCCAGAUACACUCAGAUUAUGGUAUUUUCUUUACUAAUAUCAUGAUGAUGACGAAGAUGAAAGGAGUGUAGGUGGAGGAGAUUGAGAUUCAAUAUUACCAUGAAAUUGAGAGUAUUGUGUCUACCUCUUUGGUGACGAAUCACUUGAAUUAAGAUUGAUCACAAAAAAAGAGAAUCAAGAGUUGGAACAGUUUGUAAAGAUUAAUUAAUUGUGUGAGUACCUUGUGAAUGUCGGAAUCACCACAUAGGCGAUUAAUAUAAGCGAAAAUACCACUGGUGACCCUCAUUGAGGCCAAACUUUGCAUCUGACCACAGGAAUUGAUUACGAUUAAUAAUUAAUAUUCAAUUGAUGACAAUUAACAAUUAACAGAUUAACGAUAUUGGCCAAAUCAAAUCCAAGAAGAGAUAAAAGAUAAAAGCAAUAGGAAAAGAAAGAAAGAAAAUUCUGAGAAUUGAAUUCGAUUGAAACAAUAUUGGAAUAUUUUUCGUUUUAAUUUUCAUCGAAAAUAAUUUAGGAAAAGUUUUUCUUUUCAUCACAAUUAAUUUCUAAUUGUGAUUUAGAUGUAAUUAUUAUUAUUAUUAUCAUUUUAAUCUAAUAUGCGUAUUGUAAAACCUUGAUAACGAUUGGGUUCAAUUUGGCCGUUUCAUCAUUCUAACAAUUAACUAAUCACUAGGACAGAAAAAGCUAUUUACCAUUUUGUAGGACACACAAAUAUUAAUGAUCAAUUAACUAAUCAACAUGAACAAUCAAUUAAUCAGAAUAUAGUUAACAAUCAAUGUUAUUAUUAUCUUUUAGGGUCAUUGGUCAAUUUGUUGAAACAAUUAACAAAUUUCAAUUGAUUUAAGGAUUUCAAGGUAAUUAUAAAUGAUGAUUAAACAACUAAAUAUGUUUUUUGUUGACAAUAACAAUUAGAUAAUAAUAACAAUCAACAUUUAAGAGAUGACAAAUUGAAACAGAUACACAAUUAACAAGGAUCACAAUACGCAUUGGAGGAUAAUUAAAAAGAGGAAAUUAAUUGAUUGUGGAUAAUUAAAUGCAAAUUUAUGGUACAGAAAAAUUAAUGUAAUUGUUACAUUUAAUUUACAAACAAACAGGAAAAACAAAUCAAAUUAAAAUAAAUUGUCAACUUUAAACAUGAAUUAAAGUUUAGGAAAAACAAUCCAAUGAAUAAUAAUUAAUUUCAAUGUUAAUCAAAAGUGAUUUAAGAUUAAAGGUUGAUUAAUGAAAGUCAAAGGUACUUGAAUUAACAUGCAAAUUUAAAUUGUGAUUAAUUAAAGAGUAGUUUAGUGUUUUUCGUAUACAACAAUCAGAAUAUCAAGACAAUUAGGUAACAAUUAAGUAGCAAUUAACAAGCAGGUGAAUCGCAAGUGUGCAAAAACUAAGGGUGUGGUUUAUGUGAGUAAUUAAAAACAUAACCAAGUUAAUCAAUCAAUUAAUUGUCACCAAUAAGACAAUCAACCAACUCAACCAACUCAACCAAUUACUACAACAAUUAAACAACAAUCUGUAAACGUAACAAUCAACUGAUUACAAGUGUAAAUCUCAAGAAUAACUUUCAAAUGGAUUAACUGAAAUUAUCAUUUUCUUUUGACAAAAUGUUUGAAAUUUUGCUCUUUUAAGUUGAGAUUGUGAAUAGAAUGAAAAAUGAACAUGAUGAUGAUGAUGAUAAUGGUCAUGAUGAUGAUGAACAUGGUGAUGAACAUGAUGAAGACAAAAAAAUAAUAAUAGGAAGAUACGAAAAGGUACAAUAAAUGAUAAACUAUCAAGGAGAAACUAUUCAGUUAGAAGUUGAAAUUUUCGAAUUUUUUUUCUUUUUUUCUUCUAUUACUUUUUUCACCCACAGGCUAUUUUACUACCUGGACAUUAUUAUCACUCGAUGAUGAUGAUGAUUGUGUUGUUGUUGUUGUAGGUGAUUUUCAAGUUUUCAUGAUGUUCUUGUGAAUCUGUGUCAUGAUAAAUUGUUAUCACAAGUUUUGUUAUCAUCAUUACAAUCAAUUCAACUUCAUCAAUUUUA